RNAcentral lists this long non-coding RNA (6696 nucleotides) under Lynx pardinus (Iberian lynx). The record is from RNAcentral. Lineage: Eukaryota; Metazoa; Chordata; Mammalia; Carnivora; Felidae.
AGAAACUAGAUCAGUGGUUCUUAGCAUUUCUAUGUUCAUUGAAUGCUUUUGGGCGGUGGCAUUAGCAGAGGGAUCAAAAGGCAAACAUCCCUUUUUAGAUACAAGUAUUUAGAAAAUCUAAAAACAGCCUCCCAGACAUUCACUGGGUCAACCUUCAAUAAUUUAUCACUGUUGACAUGAGACUAUUAACUUCCCAGAUGCACGAAGCCACGUUUUCACAUGAUGGAGGUCUUCCAUCCUAGCAUUACACCCCAUGUCCUUUCUCUAAUUAAUGAGCUGUAUCCUGUUCUUCUCCAGUCUGUCCAUUACAGCUUUCUACCCACCAGAUAUUUCUCUACCAACGUGCAGCUGCACUGAAGGUAAAAUGCAAAUUUUGCUCAUUGAUUACAAGUAGCAGCUGACCUACAAAGAGCUUGAGGGACCCCAAUGCCUGAGAGCCACUCCCUUAGAAAAGCAUAAAUUAGGGAUACUGCAGAUAUAAUUCCUACACAGGUGAGAUCAGAUGGACCCAAAAUACACAUUCUAAGAGAAGUCUAAGUUUCUAAGCUACUCAAACUACAGAAUUAAUACCUCUGCUGUUAUCUAUUUAGUUAUUAGCAUUUAAAAAAUUUUUUUAAUGUUUAUUUAUUUUUGAGAGCAAAGAGACAGAGUGUGAGCGGGGGAGGGGCAGAGAGAGAGAGGGAAACCCAGAAUCCCAAGCAGGCUCCAGGCUCUGAGCUGUCAUGUCAGCACAGAUCCUGACGUGGGGCUCGAACCCAUGAACAGUGAGAUCAUGACCUGAGCCAAAGUCAGAUGCUUAACUGACUGAGCCAACCAGGCGCCCCUAGUUAUUAGUAUUUUUGACAUAACUUGUCAUGUGGCACUUUGCUAAGAGCAUGAAAAUUUUAAGGGUAUUAAAAAGGAGAAGUUGGAAAUAGCCAAAGGCAAAUGUCACAUUUUCUUCUGGGCCUUUUGUCUUUUCAAGGCUACAUGGAAAAGUGAACAUAUAUAUGUGGAAUUUAAGAAACAAAACAGAUCCACACAGGGGAAAGAAUGGAAAAAUAAGAUAACAACACAGAGGGAGGCAAACCAUUACAGACUCUUAAGUACAGAGAACAAACUGAGGGUUGCUGGAGGGGAGGUAGGUGGGGGGAUGGGCUAAAUGGGUGAUGGGCAUGAAGGAGGGCACUUGUUGGGAUGAGCACUGGGUGUCACACGUAAGUGAUGAAUCAGUAAAUUCUACUCCUGAAACCAUUACUCCACUCUAUCUUAACUAGCUUGGAUUUAUAUCAAAUUUUAAGAAAAAAAGAAAAAAUAGUGAGCACAGUCUGCCCCAGCUCUGGAAAGAAGAAUGCUCCUGUUGUCGGUCUUCUUUCUGAACCUUUUUAAGCACGCACAACUGUCACCAUCUUUUCUCUGGCCUCCUCUUUGCCAUGACCCUAAGCCAUCAUCCUCAUUCACACUUACUUUAAGUUGAAGCAGAAAAACGGGAAAUUAUGAAAAAUGGCAUGUGCUGGUAAAAACCUCUACAACUAUAGCAAUUAUGAUUUCAUACCCUGACUGUGGCUAAUCAGGUUUGCUCCCUCCCUUUGGCAGAAGAAUUUCUCUUUGCUCUCUGUCUCAUGGAGCCCUUGGGUAUGGGGAUAAACCUUCGAUUAUCUGGUCAGGUGACAGAACCUUCCAUGCUUCAGGCAGACCCAACCUUGGCAAGAAUAUCUGAUCUCCUAGUGAAAAUCUAGGAAAGACCACCAGUGUUCGAGAUGUGGGGACGUGUAGAGCUGUGGGGAGCUUUCAGAUAAGGGAGCCUGGACUCCAGGAGAACAGAGCAGGUCAGAUCAUGCAAAGGUUAGUGGUGGACUCUGGACAAAUCACUGGUGGUCUUGGGCUAUUUCCACUACAAAUAGGAUGUGAGACUCCUGGAGUCCCCCACUUUACUGAAGAGGUUUUAAACACUUUUGUGAUUUGUAAUGUGUUUAGAAAUGGAACAAAAAUAUUUUUAUUCUAUGUGUGAAGAGGUCAUUAAAUGAUAAAAUACUGAAUGGUAAAAUACAGCUGUAUGAGAAAUUCCCUUCUUGGUAUAUAUACUUACCCCCCAUCCCAGUUUUUUUUUUUUUCCAACGUUUAUUUAUUUUUGGGACAGAGAGAGACAGAGCAUGAAUGGGGGAGGAGCAGAGAGAGAGGGAGACACAGAAUCGGAAACAGGCUCCAGGCUCUGAGCCAUCAGCCCAGAGCCCGACGCGGGGCUCGAACUCACUGACCGUGCGAUCGUGACCUGGCUGAAGUUGGACGCUCAACCGACUGCGCCACCCAGGCGCCCCCCAUCCCAGUUUUAUUGAGAUAUAAUUGACAUAGAACAUUGUGUAGUUUAAAAUGUACCAUGUGUUCACUGGAUACAUGUGUAUUUUGCAAAAUGACUGCCACCAUAGUGUUAGCUAAGGACACCAACCCAUCACAUAAUUACCAUUUCCAUUGUGUGGAGUGAAUAUUUGAGAUCUAUUCUCCCAGCAGCUUUCAAGUAUGCCAUACUGUAUUAUUAAUUAUAAUCAUUACACAACACAAUAGAUACUCAGAAGCUUCUAACUAGAAAUUUGCACACUUUAACCAACACCUCUCCAUUUCCUCCACUCCCCAUCCUGUUAGUAACCCCCACUCAACUUUUUUCUAUGAGUUCAGCUCUUAUGUACAUUAUUCUUGGUAAAAUAUGUCAGAUAGAGAAAGGCAAAUACUACAUGAUAUCACUUAAAUGUGGAAUCUAAAGGAGCUGGUGUAUAUAUGUACUUUGGCUUAUCUCCUUAUCAGCAUUUUCACGUAAUGCAUGAAAACAAUACAGAGGGAAUCAAAGCCCUCAGGUUCUCUCUUUUUCGGUUGUCUUUUCUCUGUGCUACAGUAUGAAUUGUAUCCCCAACAAAAUUCAUAUGUCGAAGCCCUAACCUCAAUGUAAUAGGAUUUGGAGAUAUGGUGCCUUUGGGAGUAAAUAGGUUUCAAUGAGGUCAUAAGGGUGGGGUCAUGAGAUUAGUGCCUUUAAAAGAAAACAUCAGAGUGCUUGUGGUCUCUCUCAGUACCAAGUGAGAACACAGUGGGAAGGUGGCUCUCUGUAAACCAGGCAGAGUUCUCACCAGAGCCCAACAAUGCUGGCACCCUGAUCUCAAACCAUCAGCCUCCAGAACUGUGAGAAAAUAAAUCUCUGUCAUUUAAGCCACCAAGUUAAUGGUGUGGUUCUGUGUUAUGGCAGCCUAGGCUGACCAAGACACCCUGUUUCUCUUUCUACCUUCUGUCUACACUAUUCUCUCCUGGGAGGGCAGAGACAGAGGAUAUAGACUUAGUAACAGUGAUGGCCUAUGUAAUGGCAUCCUGUUGCAUUUUUACCCCUUUAUCACUGAAAUUAGAUGAACACAUUAUUCCACCUAUAUUGCAUUAUUAAAAAACAAAACAAAACAAAACAAGACAGGCACUUUUGACCAGUUUACCUUUUGUAAUGGCACUAAACUCCUUUCUUUAUUAUGCAAAUUGGUGGAAAACAACUCUUCUGGAAAACAGAGGAACAACUAGAGCAAGAAAUGAUUGAAGAAGAGGUCAAAGAGAAAGGGGACAGGCACAUCUAUCAGGGAGGGAGGCUCCUGAUUACCUUCUCCAUCCCUGAGCCUCACCAAUGCCCAGCCUUCCCUAUACUGCCCACUGUUCCUUUCCUUCCUGUCUUCUCACUGUCUAUUACUUCCACUUCCUGUCUUUUCUUUCCUCUUCUGUAGGAACUCACCUCAACCCCUAAGAACGUAUUCUCCCAGCCCAGAUUUCCAUGCAUCCACCUUCAAUGGUAACAGAGAAAUGAUCUGUAUGCUAAUGGUUGAAAGCCUCAACAGCCCUCACUCCCAAAUAACAACUGUACAUGUUAAACAGGACCAUCUACGAGGAACCCAUCUAUGUGGGUUUUAGAAAGUGUUCCUCCAAAAGAAACUCUAGCCCAACACUAAUCAACAGAAAUAUGAGAGCCACAAAUGCCUGCCACAUUUGAUACUGGUAUUUUAAAUUCUCUAGUAGUCACAUUUUUUAAAAAGUAAAAAUAAAUGAGUGAAUAUUGUUUUAAAAUAUAUUUUGUUAGGGCACCUGCAUAGCUCUGUCAGUUAAACAUGUGACUCUUGAUUUCAGGUGAGGUCAUGAUCCCAGGGUCAUGGGAUUGAGCUCCAUAUCAGGCUUCACAUACUUAAGAUUCAUUCUCAUUCUCUCUCUCUCUCUGUCUCUCUCUCUCUCUUUCCCCCGUCUCUCGGCUCCUCUCCCCCACUUGUGCUCUUUCUCUCUCUGAAAAAUAAGAUAAAAUUUAUUUAACACAAUAUAUCCCCAAAAUAUUAUUGCUUUAAUAUAUAACCAAUUUUUAAAAUAUAAUGGGAUAUUUCACAUUUCUUUCAAAUUAAGUCUUCAAAAUCAAGUGUGCAUUUUAUUUUUUGUCAUGUUUAUUUUGUUUUUGAGAGAGAGACAGAGUGUGAGAGGGGAUGGCAGAGAGAGAGAGGGAGAAAUGGAAUCUGAAUCAGGAUCCAGGCUCCAAGCUGUCAGCACAGAACCCAAUGUGGGGCUUGACCUAUGAGUCGUGAGGUCAUGACCUGAGCCAAAGUCAGAUGCUUAACUGACUGAGCCACCCAGGAUCCCUUCAAAUGUGUAUUUUAUACUUCCAGUACAUCUCAUUUCAUAUAGCCACAUUUAAUUGCUUAAUGCCACAUGUGGCUAGUGACUACUGUAUCGGACAGCAUAGCUCUGGUCAGAUGAAACGAAAGGUGAGGCCCUGGUGUAAGGGCAGAUAAUGAAGGCCUCCUGCCAAAUGGACUAACUCUCCUGGGCCUAAAAGCACAAGCCUAUUGCAGAGGCAACAAACUAAAUGCUCCUUUGAGACAUGGAGAUGUUUUUCAUUGCUUUUAGAGAAACGUACAUCAACUACCAUCUCUGUCAAUAUUAUGGUAAAAGUUCAAAUAUUCAGAACAAAAACAUCUCCAUGGAAUCUUGAAAUGUAGUAUAUUGCUAAUAACAAUUUCUAAGAGCAGAAAACAUCUCAUCUUUCCUCUUAUCACUUUUGUGAGGCCAAAACUAUCCUGCCCACUGUGUAAUUCCAUGCUCAAGCUUUUGUCUCAUGAUCAUUUGGGAAAAUUACAAAAAAAACCCCUGCAAAUUAGUUUUAUUUGCUGAGAAGGGGGUGAUUCCCCACCUACAUGGAAAAUCACAGCACAGGUGCCCUAUCUUUAGCAGGUGUAUAGGUAUACAAUAGUAGCAGGCAUUUGUAUCCUGGACUGGCAGUUAUGUUGCCUUCAGGUGCAGCUGUGGGGUUGGUUUACACUGAGGACUGAGUAAAUGCUGAACCUUUAAUUAUACUGAUUAACUGUCAAUACCAUUAAUUCAUACACCAUUAGUUCGAGUAUUCCUACAGUGAUACCCAAGUCGUUGACAUCCCUUUUAUAGUUCAUGUCUUCCCUCUAUAUAACUCAGAGAAAUUAUUUUAUGGUGGAAAUCUCACUCUCUGGGUGAGAGUGGUAAGGAGGGUGGUCUUGCUUAAGUCUAAUAGGAUUUACCUGCUUCUUUGAGCAGGUAAAUUUUGUGAUGGUCUACCAGAAUUUUUUUUAAGGAUUCCCUGCUAUCAGCCACUAAUAUUUUAUCUCUUUGUUGAAGCCUCUCUUUCUCCUUAUUCAGGCUUUUAUCCUUAUCUGAAGGGUCAGAAAUUAUAAAGCAUAAACUUUUAUAUACAGGGGAUAUUUGAGAUUUUAUGAAAGAAAUGCUAUAAACCCUUCAGACCUAAAGACAAAGAGAAAGAAAGAAAAAGAGAGAGAGAGAGAGAGAGAGAGAGAGAGAGAGAGAGAAUGAAUCUCUAUGGAAGAUAUUAGGCUAAAAAUUUUCCUAGAUGCCCUCAAAUUAUACCUCUGCCAACUUUAAAGCUGACUUGGGUUAAGUAACAUGUCUUUUUUCAUCACUUCCCCCAGAAGGGGCAAUGACAACUUUUUUUUUCCUAUUUGAGUUAAAAUUCAAUUUAAAGUCCAUUUCUACUUGAUUGUCACUCUUGUGAGAUUCUUAGGCAAAAGGAUACCAUGAAACUUGGGAUGCUGUUGUUUACAGAUUUGAUUUUCAAGGACGCUUCAUUCCCAUGGUUAAUUAAAAGUUAAAUGUGUACAAAAAAGAGUUGGCAAAGACUGAUUCUCCUCCCUCUCUAGAGGUUUCCAAGUUCUUUUUUCAUGAGCACCCAUAAUCUUUUCCCUCACCGGACCCGGAUUCCAUUCUCGGUCUAUCUGACCAGAUGAUGCAACAUCUGUGUUCCCUUUUAAGAACGUGAGAAAUAAAGCUUUUCCAUCUUCCCUGUCUUUGAGUUCUGGGAAAUCCAAUUAAAACUGCUCAGAUUUUGUUUUUCUUGUUUGCUUUAGAAGACAACCCUCGGGAAGAGUCCUGUGGCGGUCUCCCGCCUGUGGAAGAAGGUGAUCAAAAAAUUAACCUGAUUAUGGAGUUGUCGAUGCAGGUUUCCCUUCAGACUGAAAAGAUCACCCAGCUGGAAGAAGUUUUAGAGGAGAAGGAAAGGAAGAUUCAGCAGCUGGAAGCUGAGCGGGGAUCCCAUCCUCUCCAAGAAGUUGAGGAGUCUCCAGAAUGUUUACAAGAAGCCCCAAUUUUCUUUAACAAUAAUGUCACCCCUGUGGUCUCUCAUGAGGAUAUGUAAGGAUUCCCAAUAAGAAAAUAAUAAAUGUUUAUUAAGGGUCA